RNAcentral lists this unclassified non-coding RNA (2841 nucleotides) under Hevea brasiliensis (rubber tree). The record is from RNAcentral. Lineage: Eukaryota; Viridiplantae; Streptophyta; Magnoliopsida; Malpighiales; Euphorbiaceae.
CGACACACACGCAUUCACCUGGAUAACUAAGAAGAGUAAGUUUACAGUGUGUUCAAUGAUGACAGGGUGGGUUUGACUCUCAACAUGUAUUUUGCAAGCUUGAGAUGCACCUCUCCAACUUUUGUUGCAUCAAUGGUUAACACCAUAGCGUCCUUGACCUUCACAAUCGCAGUUGCAUUAAGGUUGGAAGGUCUUGAUCUUGGAAAUCCUCGUGGAAAAGCAAAAGUUCUUGGGACCUUAGUUUCCUUGGCUGGUGUAAUGACUAUGACAUUUUAUAAAGGUCCUAUCGUAGAAAAUCUUUGGCAUCCUCUAAUUCAUAUUCAUCGAAAGGCUAGUAGCAACCAUGAGAGCUGGUUGAAGGGUUCGAUACUUGCUGUUGCAAGCUGCAUUUUUUGGUCUAUGUGGUAUAUUAUGCAGGCAUUCACCCUGAAAAGGUAUCCUGCUCAACUGUCGCUGACUACAUGGAUGAGCUUCGUUGGGGCUGCACAAUCAGCUUUCUUUACAGUGAUUGUAGAACAUAGAAAAAGUGCUUGGACUAUGGGAUUCAAUAUUGAUUUCUGGUCCACUGUGUAUGGAGGAGUGGUUGUCUCUGGUUUAAUAGUUUUCAUUCAGCUGUGGUGCACAGAAGUAAAAGGACCAGUUUUUGUCACCAUGUUCAAUCCCCUUUCAACAAUAUUAGUGGCAAUUUUGGCAUACUUCGUUCUGGGCGAAAAACUAUACCUGGGCAGCAUACUGGGGGCUGCUGUUGUAAUCAUCGGCUUAUACUCGCUGUUGUAGGGCAAAGAAGAUGAUCAACGAACUCAAUCCAGAUCACAAGAUCAAUCUCAUUCCAGUUAUGAAGAGCAAAAGGAGACCAAGAUACAGAGAGUUGCUUCACUUGAGAGUAAAAUACCAGCAAGCGAACCUUGAUGUCCAAAUCAUUUCUUAGACAAAAGGAUCAAUAUUCAAUACCAUGUACAUUCCAUCGAAUUAUAGGGUAAUAAUACCCAACUGGUUAACAUCUAUCAUAUUGACAAUUCCAGAUGGCUGUAUUCAGAGAUCUGCCACAGAAGGUAUCAUCUUGAAAAAUUCCAUAUUUUAGAAAUGUGAAUUUCUUCAAGAUCAACAAUCAACGGCAGAACAAUUCAUUUAAGAAAAUAAUUGCCAUCUAACUACAUUUCUUGUUAAUCUCCGACAACGCAUUAGCCAAUUGUCAAAUGUCUAAACCAGUUGGUAAAAAAGCAGUUAUAUUUACAAUUGAACUGACAAAAAUUGUUGGACAACUCUAGAAGAAAGCAUCUAAUUGUUGACAGAAAAUUAAUUGGACAGGAACAGAGUCAGAGAGAGAACAAAAGGAAAAAAAAUUAUGCAGCAGGGGGCCAGUACUCAUGGUCACGUGAUGUAUCACGGGAAGCCGGAGGUAAUUGCCACAUUGGUAUCAGACCAUAGCUUGGAAAAACUGCCAUCUUGUUCACUCCAGCAUGAUAAGCUGCAGGAUGGGCUGGCAUGAAUCCAGAAGGUGGAACAGCCAUAACCUUUAAUUGUUGCUCCAUCCUUUCUUUAUCUGCCUUCAGUGUGAGUUUCUCUUCACGAAGUUCAUUCUUCUCAGCCUUCAAAGUUUUUAUUUCUUCCCGUAGCUUUUCAUUUGUUUCUUUGAGCUCCUGAGCUUCAGUUUUCAAUUGAUUUAGAACUCUAACAGCAUCAUCAAGAAUGGCCGGUUUGUCAGUUCUGGCAGGUCUCCCAGGCUCCAAAACAGAGCUCAAAUCCUGAAACCUGUCAUUUAAUCUCUCCCUCCGCAACUUCUCACGGCAAGCUUUGGUCCUUGGCUUGCUGCAAGAAUCACUGUGUCCUCUGUGUAUUAUCAACAGAAAAAUUAUUAUGAAAACCUCAUAAAAAAAUGAUGUUAAGGGAACAUCUCAUUAAUAGCAAAGGAAAAAAUGGGGAAAAUUAUUGCCAGCUCAUUUGCUAACUAAAAAACCCAAAUGUAAGUGCUGCAUUAGAUACUUUGAACUUUAACAUUCCCAGGAUUAUUGGAAGCAAUAUUACUGGAUGAACAAACCAAAAUUCAUAAAUUGAAUAGUCUACUGGAUUUAAGAGAAAACACGUGAGAAACCAUAGAUUGGCACAGCUACUAGUGACUGCUUUUUUUCUCUUCCCUUAUUCUUUUUGCAAGAAACUAGGAACAAAUUUUUAACAAGUCCUAUUUGCAACAUUUCAAUAGUGUGAGUCAGUUGUGAGACAAUCUUUUAAAAGUUUAUUGCCAAAGACAGCAAAUUAAUAAUAGACGUCACACACUAGAAGGAGCCUUGUGAUUUUACAACACCUGAAUUAAGCAGCCCCUAAAUUCCUACACAUAUACUGUUGCUCAAAAAAAACAGGACGAGGAGUUCUAAAAUUAAAAUACAAAAUUAACAGCCUAAAUGUGCUCCGUAAAAAUAUUUCAGUAACUGAAACAUGAAAUAUAGGAAUAUGGAAAUGCAAAAUAAUACCUCUUUCUUGUGCACUGUUUUUCUUGCGCCACAGCACCACCAGAUGAAAAAUCAAUAUCCACGCCACCACUGUGAUUAUUAGGCCAUAAGAAAUCAGAAGAAGUCGUGGUUUCCUCGAUGAAGUUAUAAUCAAGAAAAUCCCAACAACAAUCGUCCUCUAAUGAAUCCAUGUCUUAUGGGAGGAAUUAUGGAUUUUGUAUAAAGUAAAUAGAUCAAUUCGGACUAGGGUUUUUUUCCCCGUUCAAAACAAAGAUAAGAAGAAAUUAUGAGCUUUUUUUAGGAAAUUAAACUGAAUUAAAUUUUGGGGCUGACAUAAAGGGAACGCAUGGGAAAAGAAGGGCCAAUAAGUUUAGAACACGUAAAAAGAAUCAAU